This 287-nucleotide unclassified non-coding RNA is filed under the name Hevea brasiliensis (rubber tree). Lineage: Eukaryota; Viridiplantae; Streptophyta; Magnoliopsida; Malpighiales; Euphorbiaceae. The record is from RNAcentral.
GAUGAUCAAAUAAAGUCCGUUCGUGCCGGUCCGGGUAAAGCUACUACAAUGAAGAGACACCCAUGCCAGCUUCUUUCCUCUGAGAUGAAGACCAGCCCUUACUCUCUACUUCAGGGUCAAAUCCCUGGUGUGACGACAGAAAAAGAGCAUAUAAUGUCCCGGCAAAUGCAAGCGUCUCAUAGUUCACAUUUGAUCGAUUCAAACCUGCUGCUUAAAGAGCUGCUUGCUACCACUGCGUAAUUGUAUUAUAAGACAAUAGCCCAAGACAGCUGUGGCAUGCCCUGUUU